UAAACAUGAAGUAAUAGAUAUAAGAUGUUGCUACAUGAAUUGUUCAACUAUUGCAUACUAUUGGAUCCCUGUAACUUAUAAUUGGUAUCUUAGCUAUGCACAUCUAUCUUAUUCAAGAUCUGCCACACAUAUCAUUUUCAAGACAGACAACUAUUUAAUAAUUCAAAAGCAAUCCCUAGUAACUACCAUUGUGUACAAGGUAAAGCAUUAUUGCUUCCAUUCAAAUUU
RNAcentral lists this long non-coding RNA (228 nucleotides) under Cicer arietinum (chickpea). Its description in RNAcentral is "long non-coding RNA (CARI_LNC000623)". Lineage: Eukaryota; Viridiplantae; Streptophyta; Magnoliopsida; Fabales; Fabaceae. The record is from RNAcentral.